UGGGGAAUUUUGGACAAUGGGCGAAAGCCUGAUCCAGCAAUGCCGCGUGUGUGAAGAAGGCCUUCGGGUUGUAAAGCACUUUUGUCCGGAAAGAAAUCCUUGGCUCUAAUACAGUCGGGGGAUGACGGUACCGGAAGAAUAAGCACCGGCUAACUACGUGCCAGCAGCCGCGGUAAUACGUAGGGUGCAAGCGUUAAUCGGAAUUACUGGGCGUAAAGCGUGCGCAGGCGGUUUGCUAAGACCGAUGUGAAAUCCCCGGGCUCAACCUGGGAACUGCAUGGUGACUGGCAGGCUAGAGUAUGGCAGAGGGGGGUAGAAUUCCACGUGUAGCAGUGAAAUGCGUAGAGAUGUGGAGGAAUACCGAUGGCGAAGGCAGCCCCCUGGCCAAGUACUGACGCUCAUGCACGAAAGCGUGGGGAGCAAACAGGAUUAGAUACCCUGGUAGUCCACGCCCUAAACGAUGUCAACUAGUUGUUGGGGAUUCAUUUCCUUAGUAACGUAGCUAACGCGUGAAGUUGACCGCCUGGGGAGUACGUCGCAAGAUU
RNAcentral lists this ribosomal RNA (545 nucleotides) under uncultured bacterium. Its description in RNAcentral is "partial 16S ribosomal RNA". It matches the Rfam family "Bacterial small subunit ribosomal RNA", at positions 355 to 895 of the family's 1533-position model. The record is from RNAcentral.